This is a long non-coding RNA of Bombus huntii, 623 nucleotides long. RefSeq lists it as uncharacterized. Lineage: Eukaryota; Metazoa; Arthropoda; Insecta; Hymenoptera; Apidae. The record is from RefSeq and is a predicted model, not a curated record. The transcript is spliced from 2 exons.
CUAUUGACUAGAAGAACGAUAUGUAUAAAUGGAGAUGUUCACCGUGCUAUAUAUAUUUAUGUAACAAAUAUACCGUCUACGUUUCGAUCUAUUCUAGUAUUUGGAACGGAUUCAAGUAGACUAAUACAAAUUAGAAGUUCUUACCAGAAAAAUCUGUCGUAAAGGUGAACCGAAGCAUUUUAGCAGGACGCACAAUUUUCCUCAACCUCGGCCUGGCCGAUGCUAAGAAUCAGCGUCACCGAAAUACCGCGGUGUAACUUUGAAAAAAUAGGUCGAUUAAGAGCGCCGAUAUCCAUCAAACUGUCUCUUAAAAUAUUCGGCCGGCGAUCGAAACAUAAUCUCGAAAUGGAGAAUGAAUACGGAAACACCAUUCUAGUACGUACGGAAGAAUAAAAGAGACUGAGGCACGAGCAGCAACACUAGCUAACGAUAUCGUCGAACGCAAUGAUCCAACACCAAGUUAUGAGCAAUUCUACUUUUUUCCGAGACACGUCCGAAUAAUUGCUGCCAUUGCCGUAUUUUUUGAUAUUUCUCCGUGAAAAUUUUAUACGAUAUUCUUCGAAUGUCAUACUUUAAUGUACUAUUGGUUUUAAUAAAGAGAUUUUAACUGUGUCGUCACAAAU